Molecule: long non-coding RNA, 308 nt
Organism: Gordionus sp. m RMFG-2023
Lineage: Eukaryota; Metazoa; Nematomorpha; Gordioida; Chordodea; Parachordodidae
Exons: 3
Source: RefSeq, a predicted model, not a curated record
UAAAUACUCCUGAAAAUUUUAUCCAAUUUAAGGAAGUAUAUGAAAAAUAUGCGAGCACUUUAUCAAGUGGCAUAAGGACAAACAAAGAAAUAUCCCUGAGGGAGAGAAUAGCCAGGGAUAGGCUCAUGGGAACUGGGUCAUCAGAGGAGAUAGCUCAGAUAGAGGAUAUAACUGAAAUUCAAUAUUGGUGGGAAGGGAAUCAAUAUCGAUUUCCAGUUCUAUCAAAAAUAGCAAUGGACUAUCUCCCCCAGCAGGCUACAUCAGUAGCAUGUGAAAGGAUAUUUUCUAAAGCUAAUGAUAAAAUAACU